CUACGGGAGGCAGCAGUGGGGAAUAUUGCACAAUGGAGGAAACUCUGAUGCAGCAACGCCGCGUGGAGGAUGACACAUUUCGGUGCGUAAACUCCUUUUAUGAGUCAAGAUAAUGACGGUAGCUCAUGAAUAAGCGCCGGCUAACUCCGUGCCAGCAGCCGCGGUAAUACGGAGGGCGCAAGCGUUACUCGGAAUCACUGGGCGUAAAGAGCGUGUAGGCGGGUAGAUAAGUUUGAAGUGAAAUCCAAUGGCUUAACCAUUGAACUGCUUUGAAAACUGUCUACCUAGAAUAUGGGAGAGGUAGAUGGAAUUUCUGGUGUAGGGGUAAAAUCCGUAGAGAUCAGAAGGAAUACCGAUUGCGAAGGCGAUCUACUGGAACAUUAUUGACGCUGAGACGCGAAAGCGUGGGGAGCAAACAGGAUUAGAUACCCUCGUAGUC
Molecule: ribosomal RNA, 439 nt
Filed under: uncultured bacterium
Lineage: Bacteria
Description: partial 16S ribosomal RNA
Rfam family: Bacterial small subunit ribosomal RNA
Source: RNAcentral